CCCGGCGCACGGGUGAGUAACGCGUAUGCAACUUGCCUAUCAGAGGGGGAUAACCCGGCGAAAGUCGGACUAAUACCGCAUGAAGCAGGGGCCCCGCAUGGGGAUAUUUGCUAAAGAUUCAUCGCUGAUAGAUAGGCAUGCGUUCCAUUAGGCAGUUGGCGGGGUAACGGCCCACCAAACCGACGAUGGAUAGGGGUUCUGAGAGGAAGGUCCCCCACAUUGGUACUGAGACACGGACCAA
RNAcentral lists this ribosomal RNA (241 nucleotides) under uncultured bacterium. RNAcentral describes it as "partial 16S ribosomal RNA". It matches the Rfam family "Bacterial small subunit ribosomal RNA", at positions 94 to 334 of the family's 1533-position model. The record is from RNAcentral.